RNAcentral lists this transfer RNA (73 nucleotides) under Felis catus (domestic cat). It matches the Rfam family "tRNA". Rfam says of the family: Transfer RNA (tRNA) molecules are approximately 80 nucleotides in length. Their secondary structure includes four short double-helical elements and three loops (D, anti-codon, and T loops). RNAcentral also lists the same sequence under 5 other names. Lineage: Eukaryota; Metazoa; Chordata; Mammalia; Carnivora; Felidae. The record is from Rfam by way of RNAcentral.
ACCUGGCUGGCUCAGUCAGAAGAGCAUUUGACUGUUGAUCUCAGGGUUGUGAGUUCAAGCCCCACGUGGGGUG